GAUCCUGGCUCAGGAUGAACGCUAGCUACAGGCUUAACACAUGCAAGUCGAGGGGCAGCAUGAACUUAGCUUGCUAAGUUUGAUGGCGACCGGAGCACGGGUGAGUAACACGUAUCCAACCUGCCGAUGACUCGGGGAUAGCCUUUCGAAAGAAAGAUUAAUACCGGAUGGCAUAGUUCUUCCGCAUGGUAGAACUAUUAAAGAAUUUCGGUCAUCGAUGGGGAUGCGUUCCAUUAGGUUGUUGGG
This 246-nucleotide ribosomal RNA is filed under the name uncultured bacterium. RNAcentral describes it as "partial 16S ribosomal RNA". It matches the Rfam family "Bacterial small subunit ribosomal RNA", at positions 15 to 253 of the family's 1533-position model. The record is from RNAcentral.